Molecule: ribosomal RNA, 479 nt
Filed under: uncultured bacterium
Lineage: Bacteria
Description: bacterial SSU rRNA
Rfam family: Bacterial small subunit ribosomal RNA
Source: RNAcentral
UUUCGCAAUGCCCGAAAGGGUGACGAAGCGACGCCGCGUGUGGGAAGAAGGCCUUCGGGUUGUAAACCACUGUCGGGAGUUAGGAAAUGUAAGGGUGUUAAUAGCAUCCUUACUUGACUAAGGCUCCGGAGGAAGCCACGGCUAACUCUGUGCCAGCAGCCGCGGUAAUACAGAGGCGGCAAGCGUUGUUCGGAAUUAUUGGGCGUAAAGAGCACGUAGGCGGCCUUGUAAGUCAGUUGUGGAAGCCUUCUGCUUAACGGAAGAACAGCAGCUGAUACUGCAAGGCUAGAGUGCGGAAGGGGAGAGUGGAACUUCUGGUGGAGCGGUGAAAUGCGUAGAUAUCAGAAGGAACACCGGCGGCGAAGGCGACUCUCUGGUCCGUAACUGACGCUGAGUGUGCGAAAGCUAGGGGAGCAAACGGGAUUAGAUACCCCGAUAGUCCUAGCCGUAAACGAUGGGCACUAAGUAGAGGGGUUUUA